This 868-nucleotide ribosomal RNA is filed under the name uncultured Neocallimastigales. Its description in RNAcentral is "partial large subunit ribosomal RNA". It matches the Rfam family "Eukaryotic large subunit ribosomal RNA", at positions 26 to 643 of the family's 3401-position model. The record is from RNAcentral. Lineage: Eukaryota; Fungi; Neocallimastigomycota; Neocallimastigomycetes; Neocallimastigales.
CGCAUCUGUGCAUGCAGCAUAUCAAUAAGCGGAGGAAAAGAAAAUAACAAUGAUUUCCCUAGUAACGGCGAGUGAAGAGGAAAGAGCUCAAAGUUGGAAACUGUUUGGCUUAGCUAAACCGUAUUGUAAACUGUAGAAACAUUUUCCUGGCACGCCGGAUUAAUAAGUCCUUUGGAACAAGGCAUCAUGGAGGGUGAGAAUCCCGUCUUUGAUCCGAGUAGUUGUCUUUUGUGAUAUGUUUUCAAAGAGUCAGGUUGUUUGGGAAUGCAGCCUAAAUUGGGUGGUAAAUCUCACCUAAAGCUAAAUAUUUGCGAGAGACCGAUAGCGAACAAGUACCGUGAGGGAAAGAUGAAAAGAACUUUGAAAAGAGAGGUUAAACAGUACGUGAAAUUGUCAAAAGGGAAGCGUGUGACACCAGUGUUGUUUUUCUGAAAAUCAAUUAAAGAACUGUUUAUGCUAAGCUUGUUUAGACUUUAUCAGCUAACUGUUUAGUUUUGAGCUUUUCUUUAAUGCACUUUUCAGUUAACAAGUCAACAUCAAUUUCUUUUGCUGUAAAAAAGCUUGAGGAAGGUGGCUUGAGAUUCGUCUUAAGUGUUUAUAGCCUCUUGCCUAUGCAGUCGGAGAGAUUGAGGUCUGCAGCGUAGAUCCUUCGGGGCUAAAUGCAUUUGUGCUAAGUUAUAGCAUUUUAUAGACAACUUGUUGACUAUGAUUUAGUCUUGUAGCUUACUCGCUUAUGCUAUUUUACCUACGCUUAGGAUGUUGACGAGACUGUCGAUCUCAUCUGCACAUGACUCUGCAGCAUAUCAAUAAGCGGAGGAAAGUAAGGCUGUAUACCUACGCUUAGGAUGUUGACGAGACUGUCGAUCUC